Molecule: transfer RNA, 73 nt
Filed under: Nitrosarchaeum sp.
Lineage: Archaea; Thermoproteati; Nitrososphaerota; Nitrososphaeria; Nitrosopumilales; Nitrosopumilaceae
Description: tRNA-Gln
Rfam family: tRNA
About the family: Transfer RNA (tRNA) molecules are approximately 80 nucleotides in length. Their secondary structure includes four short double-helical elements and three loops (D, anti-codon, and T loops).
Source: RNAcentral
AGCCCCGUAGUGUAGCGGCCAAUCAUACCGGACUCUGGAUCCGGUGACCCCAGUUCGAAUCUGGGCGGGGCUA